This 434-nucleotide ribosomal RNA is filed under the name uncultured bacterium. Its description in RNAcentral is "bacterial SSU rRNA". It matches the Rfam family "Bacterial small subunit ribosomal RNA", at positions 29 to 508 of the family's 1533-position model. The record is from RNAcentral.
AACGAACGCUGGCGGCAGGCCUAACACAUGCAAGUCGAACGCUGUAGCAAUACAGAGUGGCAGACGGGUGAGUAACGCGUGGGAACCUUCCCAAUGGUGCGGAAUAGCCCAGGGAAACUUGGGGUAAUACCGCAUAAGCCCUUAGGGGGAAAGAUUUAUCGCCAUUGGAUGGGCCCGCGUCGGAUUAGCUAGUUGGUGAGGUAAUGGCUCACCAAGGCAACGAUCCGUAGCUGGUUUGAGAGAAUGACCAGCCACACUGGGACUGAGACACGGCCCAGACUCCUACGGGAGGCAGCAGUGGGGAAUCUUGGACAAUGGGCGCAAGCCUGAUCCAGCCAUGCCGCGUGAGUGACGAAGGCCUUAGGGUUGUAAAGCUCUUUUGCCGGGGACGAUAAUGACGGUACCAGGAGAAUAAGUCCCGGCUAACUUCGUGC